Molecule: long non-coding RNA, 977 nt
Organism: Cavia porcellus (domestic guinea pig)
Lineage: Eukaryota; Metazoa; Chordata; Mammalia; Rodentia; Caviidae
Exons: 2
Source: RefSeq, a predicted model, not a curated record
CAGCGAGCGUGUCGGACGCGGAUCCUUCUGUGGCCCUGCUGUGUCCUUCUUUGCUCCUAGGCUGUCGCCGUGUCGGCUUCAGGUGGCCCGAGCAUUCGAGGAACUCCGAAACCUGCGGCUUUGGAGCAGUCCAGGGCCGGCGCGGCUUUUAACUAAACCUCGGAAGGCGUGGCCUCUACACCCUACGAUGUUUUCCAGAUGCACCCUCUUCUUUCAUCUCUGCUACCUCAGUUGAAUCCAAAGGUUACUCAUCAUUUACCUGGACUACGGCUUUCUCUUUCUGUUUCACCCAGUAUUUCAUCUAGCUGGCCACAAACUCCAACCUGGCUUCAGCCAUGUUACACACUUCUGUUUAAAGCAUUCCAAAUUGAUUUGUUUAUCUUCCCAUUAUUUAGGUAACUAUUUCAGUAUUCCUUGUCCACUACAAAUACAAUGCUGGAAAGUUUUCUAGUAUCUGUAUUAUAAAAAGUAGAAAGCAGAUUAAAUUAAUUUUAAUAUAUUUUAUUUAACUCAAUAUAUCUAAAAUACUGUCAUUUCAAAUGAUGAUAUAAAAUUUAAGAUACUUUACUUUUUAUAGUAAGUCUUGAAAAUCCAGUAUAUAUUUUACACACUGGAUUUAAUUGCUUAAUUUUAAGUGAUUCUGUAUUUAGAGUUCCUAAAAUUUAUAGUUGAAAAAAGAUAUACUUUAGGGUUUUUUGCUUUGUUUUGUUUUGUGUUUUAUUUUUUUCCUUUUUAUGAGGGUCUGGCCAUGUGGUUCUGUAGGGUAUACUUCUGUAGGCCGGGCUACAGUAUUUCUGCUUGCCCCUGCAGUGCAGGCUGGAGCUGAACUCUUAUUUAUGGCAGGCUGGCCUUGAACGCCCAGCAACUCCUGCCUCAGCCUCCUCAGUGCUGGGAUUAUAGGCAGACACCACCACUCCCAGCUCACAUCUUUAGUUUUCUACAACUCAAAUUAAUUACAAAUAAAAUUUAAAAUUUAA